AAAAUGGUUAUAGGUGAAAACGUAGCGAGGUGGGCGGGGCUCCGGUGACGGGCGGUGAGGCAACAAACGUUUCUUGCCUAAAAUUCGUGCGACCUCGUCAAUACGUAGACAGCAUCACCUUCCACAUUUCUCCCUUAUCCUCUUGUGCCUUCAGACUGUGGUGGAUACAGAGGCUGAUUACUUGCCUGUAGUUCCAAGUUACACUGAGGAAAAUGAUGGUAUACAUACACAAGGAGAUUAACGCGCACAAGGAAGACGUAGAGAGUGGUAAGGCAAAGUAUUACUUGGGAGAGCUUGACAUGAUGAAUAACUCCAUCCUGGCGAAUGUUCCGGGCCCCAAAGGAACACCAUAUGAAGGGGGUUACUUCUUAUUCCAGUGCUACUUCCCAAGAGACUAUCCUUACCUGGGAAUAAAA
This is a long non-coding RNA of Eriocheir sinensis (Chinese mitten crab), 416 nucleotides long. RefSeq lists it as uncharacterized. The transcript has 3 exons. NCBI's taxonomy places the organism in Eukaryota, Metazoa, Arthropoda, Malacostraca, Decapoda, Varunidae. The record is from RefSeq and is a predicted model, not a curated record.